UACGGGGGGGGGGCAAGCGUUUGUCCGGAAUUAUUUGGGCGUAAAGAGCUCGUAGGCGGUUUGUUUGCGUCUAUCGUGAAAACCUGCAGCUUUAACUGUGGGCUUUGCGGUGGAUACGGGCAGACUUGAGUUCGGUAGGGGAGACUGGAAUUCCUGGUGUAGCGGUGAAAUGCGCAGAUAUCAGGAGGAACACCGGUGGCGAAGGCGGGUCUCUGGGCCGAUACUGACGUGGAGGAGCGAAAAGCGUGGGGGAGCGAAACAGG
RNAcentral lists this ribosomal RNA (263 nucleotides) under uncultured bacterium. RNAcentral describes it as "partial 16S ribosomal RNA". It matches the Rfam family "Bacterial small subunit ribosomal RNA", at positions 522 to 776 of the family's 1533-position model. The record is from RNAcentral.